Acanthochromis polyacanthus (spiny chromis) is the source of this 1475-nucleotide long non-coding RNA. RefSeq lists it as uncharacterized. The transcript has 3 exons. Lineage: Eukaryota; Metazoa; Chordata; Actinopteri; Pomacentridae. The record is from RefSeq and is a predicted model, not a curated record.
CAUAUUACAUACACUUGUAACAAACCAGCGCACCAUAUAGAUACAACAACAAUGGAAAAAUAAAAAUACAAAGAAAUGUAUCAGUAUAAACCUGGAGUGGUCCAGUGGUUUUAAGGAAAGAGUGGACAGUUGAAGAUGAAUCCUGACCGAUUCCCUACCUGACUGCACUUUGUUCAAAACCAUUUACUGUAUGUUUGCCUCAGUUAUACUGUAUAUAAGGAACAUACAUAAAGAAAUAUAUAUUAUAUGUUUAAAUUCUAAUGCCGUAUGCAUAGGAUUUAGUGCAAAUCUACGCUACGUUCGUACAAGUUCCAGUUAUAUGAAUGACAAAUGUUAAAUGACUGUGUUGUUGUGUCCUGUCAUUUUGUGUUUAAAGCUGCCAUAUUGGUAGCUACUGACUAUAAGAUAUGAUUUUAAAUUGCUAAUACGAUUUAUUCCUCCUUCUUGGUGAGCAGACAGUGAGACUGUGUCCCCACCCAGAAACCUGGCAACAAUUUCUCCUUGAAGGAGCUCUUAAUCUGCUGCAACAGUUUCACCUCCUUACCUGCUGUGCCCUCCUCUCCCUCUUUCACCUCCACAGAAUAGAAAUUAAGGACACCAGCAGGUUGGUCGAGAUAAACACCUAUUAUUGAGGACUUGUUAUUCUCCAUGAUCUCAGUGGAGCGGCCGUUGUGCCAGGCAUGAUAAGUGGAUCCGCUCCGUCCGAGACCCCAGGACUCCUCGUUCUCUCCCAGGCCACAGGAUCCAUGGCUGUUCCUCCUUCCAGCUCGCUCGAAGGCGACUCCGACCACGACCCAUCCAGAAAACUCCACCUCCCAGUAGCCUCGGAAGCCCAGGAUGCCUUCUUUGCAAAGAACCUUUUGGAACGUGGAUGGCAAUGUCAACGUAAUUCAGAGUGAAGCAGGCUGCCAUUUUAUGUGAAGCACAGACACCCCUGGUGAAAUCCCAACACCGACUGCAUGUAUUUCAACUGCUUCGGCUACAGAGUCCGACAUUCCCGCACCUUUUCACGGAUUCACGCUUUGACCUCAGCAGCAGGGGACUUGUCUCCACGGUGGCUCCAGCUGAUGUAUGCACAUUUCUGACAAAUGAAGGAGGAGAUGAUGACUAGUAAUGAAGACGUGCCUGAGACUUGAAUCUUGACCAUGAGAUGAAAGGGUGAGGAGACAGGGUGUGUCAGGGUAACAUUAUAAAGAAAAAUACUGUUACUGCCUGUGGCCAGCUGACCGUCUGGCCUAAAUCUGCCAUAAGCCUGGCGUUCGGCUGUCUCGUUUGUGCCACAAAUAUGACCUUUUAAUCAUAUAAGGUUGCAUUUGGGAGUCCCUAAUACACACUAGUACAGAUUUGAGCCAUCUGAAUAAAGUGUCACAAAGUAAAAUAAUUUUAUAUUUAAAUAGUGUGCUUUUUAGGUUGCGUGUAUUUGACAGGUGUAGCUCUCAGUCCUUCAUAAUUAUAUAGAACAUGUGCAAAAGGAA